AGAUUGAACGCUGGCGGCAUGGCUAAAACAUGCAAGUCGAGCGCGAAAGUGGAGCAAUCCAUGAGUAGAGCGGCGAAAGGGUGAGUAACGCGUUCCUUACGUACCUCAAGGUCGGGGAUAGCCAGGGGAAACUCUGGGUAAUACCCGAUGUGAUCGAGAGAUCAAAGGCUUGCCGCCUUGAGAGCGGGGAACGUCCUAUCAGCUAGUUGGUGAGGUAACGGCUCACCAAGGCUUUGACGGGUAGCGGGUGUGAGAGCAUGGCCCGCCACAUCGAAACUGAGACACUGUUCGGACUCCUACGGGAGGCUGCAGUAACGAAUCUUCCGCAAUGCGCGAAAGCGUGACGGAGCAAUGCCGCGUGCAGGAUGAAGCCCCUCGGGGUGUAAACUGCUGUCAGGGAUUAGGAACACAAUGACCAGUCCCAAAGGAAGAGACGACUAACUCUGUGCCAGCAGCCGC
Molecule: ribosomal RNA, 459 nt
Filed under: uncultured bacterium
Lineage: Bacteria
Description: SSU rRNA
Rfam family: Bacterial small subunit ribosomal RNA
Source: RNAcentral